UACUAUGUCUAACCAUAAACCUAGACAAUAAUUUACCAUAUUGUCCGCCAGAGUACUACAAGCGCUAGCUUAAAACCCAAAGGACUUGGCGGUGCCUCAUACCCACCUAGAGGAGCCUGUUCUAUAAUCGAUAAUCCCCGUUUAACCUCACCAUCUCUUGCCACCACCGCUUAUAUACCGCCGUCGUCAGCUUACCCUAUAAAGGGUAAAAAGUAGGCACAAAGAACUAAUACUUCCAUACGUCAGGUCAAGGUGUAGCGAAUGAGAUGGAAAGAAAUGGGCUACAUUUUUUCAACCAAAAAACUACGAAUAGUAAACUGAAAAAUUACUUAAAGGUGGAUUUAGCAGUAAGAGAAGAUUAGAAUACUUCCCUGAAACAGGCUCUGAGGCGCGCACACACCGCCCGUCACUCUCCUCAAAUACCUGUAUAUAUUUACAUAUCCAUAAAAAGAAAUACUAAACAAGAGGAGGCAAGUCGUAA
RNAcentral lists this ribosomal RNA (481 nucleotides) under Eucrossorhinus dasypogon (tasselled wobbegong). RNAcentral's name for it is "partial small subunit ribosomal RNA". It matches the Rfam family "Bacterial small subunit ribosomal RNA", at positions 788 to 1491 of the family's 1533-position model. Lineage: Eukaryota; Metazoa; Chordata; Chondrichthyes; Orectolobiformes; Orectolobidae. The record is from RNAcentral.